This 479-nucleotide ribosomal RNA is filed under the name Tannerella forsythia. Its description in RNAcentral is "bacterial SSU rRNA". It matches the Rfam family "Bacterial small subunit ribosomal RNA", at positions 9 to 482 of the family's 1533-position model. Lineage: Bacteria; Pseudomonadati; Bacteroidota; Bacteroidia; Bacteroidales; Tannerellaceae. The record is from RNAcentral.
GAGUUUGAUUAUGGCUCAGGAUGAACGCUAGCGAUAGGCUUAACACAUGCAAGUCGAGGGGCAGCGAGGGUAGCAAUACCUGUCGGCGACCGGCGCACGGGUGAGUAACGCGUAUGUAACCUGCCCGCAACAGGGGGAUAACCCGGCGAAAGUCGGACUAAUACCGCAUAAAACAGGGGUCCCGCAUGGGAAUAUUUGUUAAAGAUUUAUCGGUUGCGGAUGGGCAUGCGUACCAUUAGGUAGUUGGUGAGGUAACGGCUCACCAAGCCUUCGAUGGUUAGGGGUUCUGAGAGGAAGGUCCCCCACACUGGUACUGAGACACGGACCAGACUCCUACGGGAGGCAGCAGUGAGGAAUAUUGGUCAAUGGGCGAGAGCCUGAACCAGCCAAGUCGCGUGAAGGAUGACUGCCCUAUGGGUUGUAAACUUCUUUUACAAGGGAAUAAAAUGAGAUACGUGUAUUUUAUUGCAUGUACCUUG